This 533-nucleotide ribosomal RNA is filed under the name Apiotrichum porosum. RNAcentral describes it as "LSU rRNA". It matches the Rfam family "Eukaryotic large subunit ribosomal RNA", at positions 77 to 626 of the family's 3401-position model. The record is from RNAcentral. Lineage: Eukaryota; Fungi; Basidiomycota; Tremellomycetes; Trichosporonales; Trichosporonaceae.
CCCCUAGUAACGGCGAGUGAACCGGGAAGAGCUCAAAUUUGAAAUCUGGCAGUCUUCGAUUGUCCGAGUUGUAAUCUAUAGAAGCGUUUUCCGUGCUGAACUGUGUAUAAGUCCCUUGGAACAGGGUAUCAAAGAGGGUGACAAUCCCGUACUUUACACAAUCAUCAGUGCUCUGUGAUACGUUCUCUACGAGUCGAGUUGUUUGGGAAUGCAGCUCAAAAUGGGUGGUAAAUUCCAUCUAAAGCUAAAUAUUGGCGAGAGACCGAUAGCGAACAAGUACCGUGAGGGAAAGAUGAAAAGCACUUUGGAAAGAGAGUUAAACAGUACGUGAAAUUGUUGAAAGGGAAACGAAAUUCAUGAAUCAUGUUUAUUGGACUCAGCCGUUCUUCGGUGUACUUCCUUUAAACGGGUCAACAUCAGUUUUGUCCGAUGGAUAAAGGUAGUAGGAAGGUGGCUCUCUCGGGAGUGUUAUAGCCUAUUGCUGCAUACAUUGGAUGAGACUGAGGACUGCAGCUUGCCUUUAUGGCCGGGGU